UCAGCCUCAGGCCUCCAGAUUUGUCCUGCUCCAGGUUUGAGGAGGGAGUAGAGUGGGGACCACAGGGUGAGAUCAUUUGUCUGCAAAAGGAACGCAGAGCCGAGUGAAUCCACUUCUUGGUUUCUUCCUUCGUCUCACGUCUCUCUCCCUCUUUUCCUCCCGGCCCCCACCCACCCCCCUCAGGUCUGGUGGUCUCUCAGUGCUGCGUGGUCAGGCACCUCAAUCCUCGACUCCUUUCUACCCUACUCCGGAGUCCAAGGGUUAGAUUUUUCUUGUUGUAUCUCUCCCGGUUAACUUCUGCAGUCCGUCGGGGAGGUCGCAGGUACGAGCUAAUUGGUUAUGUUUUCUGUACCUGUGCCUGUGAGGUGUCCAGACUGGAAAGGGCGAGGGAAGGUUCUACGCUUAGGGUGGCGGUGAUAUGAAUAGCUCCGGCUCUGGCCCCGGGUCUGACCCGGCACAUUACCUGAGGACUUUAGUCGGUGAAAUGGUGCCCUGGACCUGGCCUCAAGAUCCCCGACUGGAGAAUCCGAGGGGAGCGAGCCCCUGGUCCGGUUCCUCUGUCGGCCCCCUUGGAGAGCAGAGAAGCGGUCCUGCUGAAGGGUCUGGGUCCCUGGAGCCGGAGCCGGAGCCAAAGCAGGAGAAACUGCUGCAGUUUCCCUGAGAGAUACACAAUGGCCAGUAAAAUCAUCAGAGAAAGAUUGUUAGAGUUUAGAAGCAUAUGGAAUUGAGAGUUUACCAAGUCCAACCCCUUCAUCUUACAAAUGAGGAAACUGAGGCUGAAGGAAAUGAAGGUUUGCUCAAGAUCACACGACUGGUAAGUCAUAGAGCCAGAAUCCCCCUCCCCCUUUGAUCGUGUGACUCCAAAUACAAUGAUCUUUUUGCUAAACCACACCACCUCUAGUAGGAGAAAAGAGGCAACGUGUGAAGUUCAGAAAAUGUGCAGACACGACAAUCGACACCCAUAGAAUGCAGCAUUCACUGACAGGACACCGCACUCUCAGGUCCCCAGCAGCAGCAACUCCUGAGCUCUAGAAGGAUAAGGGAAAGAAUCCUGGAGCCUCGUGUCUGAAGAGAAGAAUAGAUUGUAGAAGAAAAAAGAUUCAAAUGUGUAAUAAAACUUGGAUUGCUAAACUGUCUUUGGUCA
Molecule: long non-coding RNA, 1144 nt
Filed under: Phascolarctos cinereus (koala)
Lineage: Eukaryota; Metazoa; Chordata; Mammalia; Diprotodontia; Phascolarctidae
Description: lncRNA (ENSPCIG00000031844.1)
Source: RNAcentral